This 225-nucleotide long non-coding RNA is filed under the name Elaeis guineensis (African oil palm). RNAcentral's name for it is "long non-coding RNA (EGUI_LNC039190)". Lineage: Eukaryota; Viridiplantae; Streptophyta; Magnoliopsida; Arecales; Arecaceae. The record is from RNAcentral.
CCUUGAUGGGAAUGGAGUAUAAUAUACUUGAACAGCUUGUUGGGCUAGCACAAAGGAAUCAUUUACAUAUGCUUUUGAUUCAUGGAUUUACCUUCAUACAAUUAUCGGUAUCAAAUCAUCGGUACUUAAAUAGAAUGACACUAUUACCUCCAAGGUAAGUCAACCUGAUCACUUCUUCGAGGAUUCCAUAGUAGUCACUCUCCACCUUUGCCCAUCAACUAUCCU